AUUGAACGCUGGCGGAAUGCUUUACACAUGCAAGUCGAACGGCAGCACGGGGCAACCUGGUGGCGAGUGGCGAACGGGUGAGUAAUACAUCGGAACGUGCCCAAUCGUGGGGGAUAACGUAGCGAAAGUUACGCUAAUACCGCAUACGUCCUGAGGGAGAAAGCGGGGGACCGUAAGGCCUCGCGCGAUUGGAGCGGCCGAUGUCGGAUUAGCUAGUUGGUAGGGUAAAGGCCUACCAAGGCGACGAUCCGUAGCGGGUCUGAGAGGAUGAUCCGCCACACUGGGACUGAGACACGGCCCAGACUCCUACGGGAGGCAGCAGUGGGGAAUCUUAGACAAUGGGCGCAAGCCUGAUCUAGCCAUGCCGCGUGAGCGAUGAAGGCCUUAGGUUGUAAAGCUCUUUUCGUGGGGAAGAUAAUGACUGUACCCCAAGAAGAAGCCCCGGCUAACUCCGUG
Molecule: ribosomal RNA, 456 nt
Filed under: uncultured bacterium
Lineage: Bacteria
Description: bacterial SSU rRNA
Rfam family: Bacterial small subunit ribosomal RNA
Source: RNAcentral